AUUGAACGCUGGCGGCAGGCCUAACACAUGCAAGUCGAACGGUAACAGGAAACAGCUUGCUGUUUCGCUGACGAGUGGCGGACGGGUGAGAAAUGUCUGGGAAACUGCCUGAUGGAGGGGGAUAACUACUGGAAACGGUAGCUAAUACCGCAUAACGUCGCAAGACCAAAGAGGGGGACCUUCGGGCCUCUUGCCAUCGGAUGUGCCCAGAUGGGAUUAGCUAGUAGGUGGGGUAACGGCUCACCUAGGCGACGAUCCCUAGCUGGUCUGAGAGGAUGACCAGCCACACUGGAACUGAGACACGGUCCAGACUCCUACGGGAGGCAGCAGUGGGGAAUAUUGCACAAUGGGCGCAAGCCUGAUGCAGCCAUGCCGCGUGUAUGAAGAAGGCCUUCGGGUUGUAAAGUACUUUCAGCGGGGAGGAAGGGAGUAAAGUUAAUACCUUUGCUCAUUGACGUUACCCGCAGAAGAAGCACCGGCUAACUCCGUG
Molecule: ribosomal RNA, 490 nt
Filed under: uncultured bacterium
Lineage: Bacteria
Description: partial 16S ribosomal RNA
Rfam family: Bacterial small subunit ribosomal RNA
Source: RNAcentral